This 261-nucleotide ribosomal RNA is filed under the name uncultured prokaryote. RNAcentral describes it as "partial 16S ribosomal RNA". It matches the Rfam family "Bacterial small subunit ribosomal RNA", at positions 524 to 784 of the family's 1533-position model. The record is from RNAcentral.
UACGUAGGUGGCAAGCGUUGUCCGGAUUUAUUGGGCGUAAAGCGAGCGCAGGCGGUUCCUUAAGUCUGAUGUGAAAGCCCACGGCUCAACCGUGGAAGGUCAUUGGAAACUGGGGAACUUGAGUGCAGAAGAGGAGAGUGGAAUCCCAUGUGUAGCGGUGAAAUGCGUAGAUAUAUGGAGGAACACCAGUGGCGAAGGCGACUCUCUGGUCUGUAACUGACGCUGAGGCUCGAAAGCGUGGGGAGCAAACAGGAUUAGAUA